GAUGAACGCUGGCGGCGUGCUUAACACAUGCCAGUCGAACGGAAAGGCUCCUGCUUGCAGGGGUACUCGAGUGGCGAACGGGUGAGUAACACGUGGGUGAUCUGCCCUGCACUUCGGGAUAAGCCUGGGAAACUGGGUCUAAUACCGGAUAGGACCACAUUUUGGAUGGUGUGGUGGAAAGUUUUUCGGUGUGGGAUGAGCUCGCGGCCUAUCAGCGUGUUGGUGGGGUAAUGGCCUACCAAGGCGUCGACGGGGAGCCGGCCUGAGAGGUUGUACGGCCACAUUGGGACUGAGAGACGGCCCAGAGUCCGACAGGAGGCAGCAGUGGGGAAUAUUGGACAAUGGGCGAAAGCCUGAUGCAGCGACGCCGCGUGGGGGAUGACGGCCUUCGUGUUGUAAGCACCUCUCGCUAGGGACGAAGCGUUUUUGUGACGGUACCUGGAGAAGAAGCACCGGCUAACUACGUG
This 467-nucleotide ribosomal RNA is filed under the name uncultured bacterium. RNAcentral's name for it is "partial 16S ribosomal RNA". It matches the Rfam family "Bacterial small subunit ribosomal RNA", at positions 28 to 507 of the family's 1533-position model. The record is from RNAcentral.